UGGGAUGUAGUUUAGUGGUUGAAUGCAUGAUUAGCAUGCAUAGGUCCUGGGUUCAGUCCCAGCACCACAA
This 70-nucleotide transfer RNA is filed under the name Fukomys damarensis (Damara mole-rat). It matches the Rfam family "tRNA". Rfam says of the family: Transfer RNA (tRNA) molecules are approximately 80 nucleotides in length. Their secondary structure includes four short double-helical elements and three loops (D, anti-codon, and T loops). The record is from Rfam by way of RNAcentral. Lineage: Eukaryota; Metazoa; Chordata; Mammalia; Rodentia; Bathyergidae.